UCUUGUGGAUAAGCAAAGAGAGAGAUUUCUUGAGAUAGAAUCUACUUCUGGUAAUCAUGUUUUUGAC
This 67-nucleotide microRNA precursor is filed under the name Marmota monax (woodchuck). The record is from RNAcentral. Lineage: Eukaryota; Metazoa; Chordata; Mammalia; Rodentia; Sciuridae.